Lolium rigidum is the source of this 2469-nucleotide long non-coding RNA. RefSeq lists it as uncharacterized. NCBI's taxonomy places the organism in Eukaryota, Viridiplantae, Streptophyta, Magnoliopsida, Poales, Poaceae. The record is from RefSeq and is a predicted model, not a curated record. The transcript has 3 exons.
CGGACGGCGUUUCGAGCGGCCUCGGCAUCGCGGUGUACGGCCUAAGCCCUGCGUGAGAUUGACAAUGGCUGGAAUACGCUCGUAAGUCUCGAAUUAAGGCAACAGGGCUACGACCGGUGCUGGCGGCCGUUUGGAGGUGAAGUGUUGAACCGGUUGGAUCUGGAGGAGUACGGAUUGGAAUCAAAAGGGCAAACUUUUCUCCUUUCCAUUUAUUUUCUUCUAGUUAGCAUUCUUGCACUUCUUCCUGUCUUUUAUGUUGCACUACAUGGAUUUGUCAAUGCGUUCAUAACUUCACUAAAUUUUGGAUGUUAAUUACAAGAUAUGACGACAGGGAUCAAAACUAACAAAUUAUUUUUGGCCCCCAAAAAAUGCCCUGCUUAGUGGUUAGCUUCAAUCGCUGAAGCUGCAGAUUAAGCUGCUUUUUACAUUUAAACAUGCAUCACACUUCCUUACUUUUUUCUUGAAACGAAUGAAUUAUAUUAUCACCAAAACUGAAAUCCAGCUGAUAUAAGGAAAUUAUCCAGAUGAUAUUCUAGGAUUUUGAAGAGAUAAUUUCUUGACUCCAAUCUGAAAUAUGAAAGAAUUCUAAAUGAUCGCAGAAUACUUUCUUCUUGCACCUGAUGCUACAUGAGUCGUAUAUUUCUGCCUUCUUCAUUAGGACCUAGUCCAAUCCUUGAACGCAAGCUUGGGUUUUGUCAUUUCUACUGAACUUGCACUUUGAAAUUUCUCUGAUGUUGCAUUCAUCGUGAAAUACAGAAUUUUCGUUCCUACUAUUUUCAACACAUCACCCUUAGUUGCAGCGCUUGGAUUUCAUUAUUCAGUCGCACGAAAAUUACAUAAGCAAACCAUAGCCUAUGCCAUAAUCCUCAAAUACAUGUAUCUGUGAACAGUUUCAUUACAAUAACAAGUUAACAACAUGGAUAUAUGGUAAAAUUCCCACACUCUACAUAACAUAGCAGUCAUUCUCAGCGGCGAGUGGUUGGCGGGUGGAAUGGGCAAUCAGAAGUGUGCAUGAUGAUCUAUUAUUUAUAAUUUCAGCUUCAGAUAUCUGGUAGUAGUAAUGCUUUCGUGCAGUGAGCUUGGCUUAUUGCGUCCAUAAUUUCGAGUUAGUCCCUAAGUGCAAAUUGCAAAUAUGCUCUUAAAAAAACAAAUUGCAAAUAUAUUUGCAUUUUCAAGCUUUCCAUAGACUCGUUUGCGCAUUUUGGUAUGAUGGUUUGUGUUCAGCGGUAGGUUUACUUAUAACGGGUUUUCUCUUCCAUUGUUCAUCCUUUUUUCGCUUCGUAAUUGUUCAGUUUUAUUUGACAUAAUUUUGUUACUAUAAAAAGUGAAUUUGAGAUAAGUAUUUCUGCAUAAUUUUUAUUUUAUUGGCUCCAGUCUAGUGCUAGUGGGCACGAUUAGCUAGGUUCUAUGUGAAAGUACCAAGCUGAAAGCAAUUUUUACUGGUUAUUUAAUGGCAUUAUGAAAUGCAUUGUGGUUACAAAUUAUGAAUUAAACUAAGCUCAUACAUAGUUUUUUAUGCUUGUCUGACGACUUAUAUCCUUCCCAUAAAUGUGCUUUGUUUCAGUUUUCUGAUAGGUUGUUUCACUUGAAGUGUUUAUCUUGUUUGGUUUGUAUGUUUAUAAUCAAAACUAUAUAAUAUGUCUGAAAGAAUAUUUUGCAACCCUUGCAAGCUUAACUAUCUUUUACUCUUGAUCUAUACUUGAAUAAAAUCAUUGUUCAUGUAUUGCAUUGUCACACCAUCUUUAUUUGAGUUGAGCUAGCUUUCGACUAAGCCAUCUUAAAUGAGUAUAUUUUGCAAUUACCUGACGUUUUCACUCACAAAUAUACAGAGUUCAUUGUAUAUUUCGUUAUUCCGCGGCACAAGCACCGCCCUGUAUUAUUAGUGAUUUAAAUCAUCUCAACAGUGGUGGGAGGCUGCAAUCUUUUUCUAUCAUGUUCUUCUUUACCGAUAUAAUCGGACUGCAACCAGGGUAUGGCGCUUGCUGCUGCUUUCUUCGCUCCAUCUCUGCCAAUCUGUAUGCCUAGUCAUUGGCAUGUUUUGAAAAAGCAUGUUGCUGAUCUGGAUGAACCCAUCUCGGAUAUCUUUGAGCGUUGUUGGGCAUGGAAGAAACAGGGUAUAUUUACAAUUGGAUUUGACCCAACCUACUGCUGCGUAUGUCCCCCUCCAUUGAGUGUCAAAUGAAUUUCCAUUUUAUGCAUCUACUGAUGUGAAUGAAGACGGUGGUAAGCAAAGUGAUAUGAAGCUGAAGUUUCUUCUGUCAGGGUUUAACAUCACUAAUGCGUGAGCUAUAGUUAUCUCUAACUUGAAUUGUGUAUGCACAAAGUAGCUUCAUAUGUAAUUACUGGGUAUACACCCAUAUCCUGUGUAUUCUUUUCGUAGUAGAUCUCUCUAGCCUUAAGUGCCACUUCUGUAUAUAGCUGAAUAUUCAUGUGUCCCCGCCCCUGCAAUGUACUUGGGUCAUGAUCUGA